GGAAGACACAUUGAAGCAGCCGCCAGGUUUCCCAGCUGGCAGCAGAGACUCUUGUCUACGUGAUGUGGACCAGUCCAGCCGAACGUAAUUGUUUCCUGUCUCUACAGCCAAGUCCAAGCAGCUGCGGGACCACAGGGUUUGGGACUGUGGAGCUGUGGGAGCCAAGCGAGACCAGGAAAACUUCCAGCUACAUCUCCUUACUCAAGGUCUAUUCAGGCUUAAGAAUUCCUCAAACACCUGUAGAGAUCUGAGAAUAUGGUAUUUAAUAUAAAAGCAUUUUAUGAUGAAGAGACAUGUCAGCUCCUGGCAGCAUCCUGUAUCUUCUCCAAGAAGAUGGAUGGCCACAGAAGAACUUCCAUCUGGAAGCUUAUGGCAAGGCCAGCCAUGCAGCGAAAAGCUGAGAUCCUGUCAAGACUGUGAAUAAGAGGAGCAAUGGGAGUCAAUUGUCCUCUCUGCCCAGACAGCUGUCUUACAAAUACCUACAGAUUCCUGGGGAAAGUUCUGCUACUGUGUCAAGACAUCUGGUCUGAUGAAAACUUAACCGCUCCAGAGCCCAUUUUGACC
This is a long non-coding RNA of Peromyscus eremicus (cactus mouse), 564 nucleotides long. RefSeq lists it as uncharacterized. The transcript has 4 exons. The record is from RefSeq and is a predicted model, not a curated record. NCBI's taxonomy places the organism in Eukaryota, Metazoa, Chordata, Mammalia, Rodentia, Cricetidae.